Long non-coding RNA from Varroa destructor (honeybee mite), 370 nucleotides. Lineage: Eukaryota; Metazoa; Arthropoda; Arachnida; Mesostigmata; Varroidae. The record is from RefSeq and is a predicted model, not a curated record.
GCCGCUUAUGCUUCACUGUUAUAUUAAACGAGGAACGUCGGUGCAGUGUUGCCAGCUGUUCCUUUGCUUCAGCGGUCAGUAUCUCUGUUUCAAUGAAGGAUUGUUUUUUACUGCGCUUGCCCAGCAUCAUUGCCUAAUCUGCAGAUGAUCGAAUAACGUAAAUUAAGGCCAUGCGCGUCUAUGCUGUAAUACUUUCCACUGAACGCUCCCUGUCAUCGCCGAAAGCGACACUGGCAUCUCGCAGAAGAUCUGAAGGUCGCCGGCAUAAAAACGCGUAAUACCUCAGCUGAAUUUGAGGGAAAUGCAUUUCCGCUUCACGGCACGGUUUGGGGAGCAUUUACUAAAAAAUGAACAAGGCCGCGACCAGAAA